UACGUAGGGGGCUAGCGUUGUCCGGAAUCAUUGGGCGUAAAGCGCGUGUAGGCGGUCCGGUAAGUCCGCUGUGAAAGUCGGGGGCUCAACCCUCGAAUGCCGGUGGAUACUGGCGGGCUAGAGUGCGGAAGAGGCGAGUGGAAUUCCUGGUGUAGCGGUGGAAUGCGCAGAUAUUGGGAGGAACACCUAUGGCGAAGGCAGCUCUCUGGUACGAGACUGACGCUGAGACGCGAAAGCGUGGGGAGCGAACAGG
RNAcentral lists this ribosomal RNA (253 nucleotides) under uncultured bacterium. RNAcentral describes it as "partial 16S ribosomal RNA". It matches the Rfam family "Bacterial small subunit ribosomal RNA", at positions 524 to 776 of the family's 1533-position model. The record is from RNAcentral.